Triplophysa rosa is the source of this 1230-nucleotide non-coding RNA. The record is from the annotation of a RefSeq genome assembly. NCBI's taxonomy places the organism in Eukaryota, Metazoa, Chordata, Actinopteri, Cypriniformes, Nemacheilidae.
GAUUUUCUAGAUUUUUCGAUUAACAAAAAAUUAUGGGCCUUAAACAAAACAUGACAUCCUUUAUUGUUUGGAUUCUUACAGCCUGUACAUGGGUUGUUGAGGGGCAGAUUUUGACUCAAUCUGAAGCUCAGACAGUGCAGUCUGGUCAAACUGUCAAUAUUCACUGUAAACAUACACCAGCAAUAAACUGUGUUAAAGAAACAGGUUCCACUCAACGUUGCAUGUCCUGGUACCAUCAGAUUCCCGGAGAGGUUCCUAAACUCCUGAUCUAUCUCACAUCUGAUAGAGCAUCAGGAGUUUCCUCUAGAUUCAGUGGCAGUGAGAGUGAAGACAAAAUUAAUUUCACUCUGACCAUCAGUGAAGUUCAGCCUGAAGAUUCAGGAGAUUAUUACUGUCAGAGUGAACACAGCAGAGGCAGUAAUGACUGGGUGUCCACACAGUGUUACAGUGUCAUACAAAAACCUCCAUCAGACCGCAUUGCUGCAGCUAUAACUCACUGCAGAUGUUGAAGAUCAUUACACAGCUUAUAAUGAACUCACACUGCGGUUAUUCACACUAUAUAUUAUGAAUAAUCUAUAAAUAAUAUAUACAAAAAGUUGUUUAGGCUAACAUUUAAGGAUGGAGUUGGUAAACUGUAACUCAGUCAAUGUAUUUUAGCUAUUACUUUUUGUUUAUAUUAGAUAAGUAUUAUUAGCAGUUAUUAAAAACACAAAUGCUCCUUUUAUGAAAAGGUAAAAAACAAAGUCAGUGGAUUUAAUGCAAAAUAGUGAUCUCAUUGUAUAGAAGACCUCUAAAUUAAAAAUACAUAAAAUGAUUGAAUCAAUUAACAAAUAUAUAUUUUACAAUCAUAUACUAGACGAGAUUGACUGAUCACCCAAGGUAAUUUACAUUUGCGGGUAUACAAAUGACAAUUAAAUUUUUCACAAUUAAAAAUAUUAAUGAACACCUUGCUUGAUCACAUUUUUAGUGGUCGCAUAACAUGUAACUAGGCGUAUUUGUUCUUGUGUUGUACUUUACUAAAUGUCUCUACCUUUUUUUAGCUUCCCUGUUUAUUUUUGCUUGAUCUGAUUUACAUUGAUAUAAAAGUAAUCAAGAGAUGAAAUACACACAGGUAUUGAUUCACAAAGCCUUUAUUUGGCAGAAAGAGCACUCUUUAUUAAUAAACAGUUUGCAAUUAUAAAUGUCGAAACUUUAAGACAAGCAUUGAGAAAUAUUUCUUUCAUGAAUCAA